GACGAACGCUGGCGGCGUGCCUAAUACAUGCAAGUAGAACGCACAGUUUAUACCGUAGCUUGCUACACCAUAGACUGUGAGUUGCGAACGGGUGAGUAACGCGUAGGUAACCUGCCUGGUAGCGGGGGAUAACUAUUGGAAACGAUAGCUAAUACCGCAUAAUAUUGAUUAUUGCAUGAUAAUUGAUUGAAAGAUGCUAUUGCAUCACUACCAGAUGGACCUGCGUUGUAUUAGCUAGUAGGUGAGGUAACGGCUCACCUAGGCGAGGAUACAUAGCCGACCUGAGAGGGUGGACGGCCAAAAUGGGAAUGGGACACGGCCCAGACUCCUACGGGAGGCAGCAGUAGGGAAUCUUCGGCAAUGGACGAAAGUCUGACCGAGAAACGCCGCGUGGGUGAAGAAGGGUUUCGGAUCGGAAAGAUCUGUUGUAAGAGAAGAACGGGUGUGAGAGUGGAAAGUUCACACUGUGACGGUAUCUAACCAGAAAGGGACGGCUAACUACGUG
Molecule: ribosomal RNA, 505 nt
Filed under: uncultured bacterium
Lineage: Bacteria
Description: partial 16S ribosomal RNA
Rfam family: Bacterial small subunit ribosomal RNA
Source: RNAcentral